UAGAUCCUCUUGGUUUGAAGCACGAGAUCCAGAAGUACCUGCUAGGGUUUGUGCCUAUUUCUUUCCUUUGAUCUGUAAUGUAAAUAUGUAAUAUGCUUGCUUGUGUGAACAAUCAGACCAAAGAUCUUGGAUCUAUAUAAUCCUUUAGGUGAUGAUAGUAAUUUUCUAAUCUAACAGUAUAUGUGGAUUUUCCCUUGUUAUUGAUGAAAUCUAAAGUAAAUAAUUUUGGGGAUGCUAUGUGAACCACACUUAAAUUGGUUUGCCAUUGCCUUCUGUAUAGGUUUUUGUUGCAGUGAACCAGCUAAUUAACCAUUCAAGACUAUCAGGAGGAAGAUGCUUGAAUUUUACUUCUGAACUCUAUAGAAGGAGGAGGUUUGAAUUAGCCUUCUUGUUUCAAGAUGUCUCAGGAGGAUUUGGAUCAAGAGAUGAGUAAUUGGAUGUCAGAGUACACCGGGCCUAAUGGGGAAAUGCUCGAAGGCGACAAGGUUGAAGGUACUGAUGGAGAGAAGGAGAAGGAGGAGGAAAAGAAAAAGGAGAAGGAGAAGGAGGUCAUUGAUCUAGAAGGUGAAGAGGGCAAGAAGAGAAAUCCGAUAGUAUCCAGAUCUGGGAUGUGGGAACACUUCAGCAAAAUUUUCCAUGAAGGUCAGUUGAUCAAGGCAAACUGCAACUAUUGCAAGAAAGAUAUUGCAGCACAUCCAGUGUUCAAUGGUACAUCUGCUAUGCAUAAGCAUUUUAAUUGUUGCAAGAGUAAUCCUCAUAUAGAGUCUAAACAAGGGGUUUUGUCAAUUAGUCAAGUUCACUCACUCCAUUUAUGGUUGAAGCUCUUGUUUGCACUCAAGAUUGGCUUAGAAGAGGAACUCCUAUCAAUGUUGUAGAGAAUACAGAAGAGUUGACCAAACUAGAAGAAGAUAUUAUUCAGGAAUUUAAGGACAAAGCAAUUGCUGAUGCACAUGCUGCCAAGUCACAAAUCCAAGGCAGCAAAAAGAAGAUGGUUACAUCCACCAACAUUAGCUCCCAGCCAAGCAAGUCCUCCAAGGAAAGCAAAAACAAGAACUCAUCUAAAGAUAAAUGACCAUGCUUGUUGAUGUUAAGUCGUUGACGAAGGUCGAAGGGUGUUGUUGUGGCCUACUGCUUGGCUGCUUGCAUGUUGAGGAAAUGAGUGGUGGCUUCGUGCCUUGCUGUUUUUAAUUAUUCCAAGUUUGAAACUGCUUGCUGGCUGCUGCUUUUAUUUUAAAACUGUGAAUUGUAGUACUGCUUGUGAGUUCUGAGCGUGAAUCACUGGAUUGUUAGUGAUUGUUGCUUGUUCUUUGAAUUUGAGAGAACCAUAAUAUUUAUGUCUUGUGCUGUUGUUUUAUAUUGAA
This is a long non-coding RNA of Panicum virgatum (switchgrass), 1361 nucleotides long. RefSeq lists it as uncharacterized. The record is from RefSeq and is a predicted model, not a curated record. The transcript has 5 exons. Lineage: Eukaryota; Viridiplantae; Streptophyta; Magnoliopsida; Poales; Poaceae.